Molecule: long non-coding RNA, 594 nt
Organism: Lagopus muta (rock ptarmigan)
Lineage: Eukaryota; Metazoa; Chordata; Aves; Galliformes; Phasianidae
Exons: 3
Source: RefSeq, a predicted model, not a curated record
ACGCAGUUGUGACACGGUGAGGAAGAAAAGCGUGCAGGCCACAGGCAGCAGGAGAAGCUGCCCCAGCGGAGCGGUCCCACCCGUGCAGGUGGAGGAAAUCGGCGCCGCCGAUUGCAAACGACGCCCCGUGCCCCCCGCGAGGAAACGGCUGUGCAGCCACGCGAAGGGCCGGACCGCUUCCAGCGCCCUGAGGUCACUGCUUCGAUGUGAGCGAGUCUGAGCUGCGCGUGGCUCUCACCAAGUGUCUGUGCUGCUGCCGGGCUGAGCUCUGCUCUGUGGGAUUAUGCCUGUAGCUCCUGGUUGGAGAUAGAGCCAAAGCUUGCUGCUGAAGAUUAAGCUCUAACAGAGACCCAUGGCUCCUCUCAUGCCGUCUGUUAGCUGCUUCUUUUCAAGAAGCCAGCGCCAUUUCCAAAUCUGUAAUAGAUCUUUAAGGACAACAGAGGAACUGGGAAUGUAUGGAUCUUCAAGUACUGGUCUCCCAUGAGCCUUCUAAACAAGCCUGACUCCACUUUUCUUCCUAAGAGUGAUGCUCCAGCCCUUUGAUCAGGACCGUGGCAUAAUCAGCAAUGACUGGGAUUGGCUCCUGAACAUCCA